Molecule: ribosomal RNA, 402 nt
Filed under: Microvirga ossetica
Lineage: Bacteria; Pseudomonadati; Pseudomonadota; Alphaproteobacteria; Hyphomicrobiales; Methylobacteriaceae
Also listed under: 1 other name
Description: partial 16S ribosomal RNA
Rfam family: Bacterial small subunit ribosomal RNA
Source: RNAcentral
UGGGGAAUCUUAGACAAUGGGGGAAACCCUGAUCUAGCCAUGCCGCGUGAUCGAUGAAGGCCUUAGGGUUGUAAAGAUCUUUCAGAUGGGAAGAUAAUGACGGUACCAUCAGAAGAAGCCCCGGCUAACUCCGUGCCAGCAGCCGCGGUAAUACGGAGGGGGCUAGCGUUAUUCGGAAUUACUGGGCGUAAAGCGCACGUAGGCGGAUUAGAAAGUCAGAGGUGAAAUCCCAGGGCUCAACCUUGGAACUGCCUUUGAAACUCCUAGUCUUGAGGUCGAGAGAGGUGAGUGGAAUUCCGAGUGUAGAGGUGAAAUUCGUAGAUAUUCGGAGGAACACCAGUGGCGAAGGCGGCUCACUGGCUCGAUACUGACGCUGAGGUGCGAAAGCGUGGGGAGCAAACA